RNAcentral lists this ribosomal RNA (301 nucleotides) under uncultured bacterium. Its description in RNAcentral is "partial 16S ribosomal RNA". It matches the Rfam family "Bacterial small subunit ribosomal RNA", at positions 509 to 808 of the family's 1533-position model. The record is from RNAcentral.
CAGUCGCCACGGUAAUACGUAGGUCCCGAGCGUUGUCCGGAUUUAUUGGGCGUAAAGGGAGCGCAGGCGGUUUAGUAAGUCUGAAGUUAAAGGCAUUGGCUCAACCAAUGUAUGCUUUGGAAACUGUUAGACUUGAGUGCAGAAGGGGAGAGUGGAAUUCCAUGUGUAGCGGUGAAAUGCGUAGAUAUAUGGAGGAACACCGGUGGCGAAAGCGGCUCUCUGGUCUGUCACUGACGCUGAGGCUCGAAAGCGUGGGUAGCGAACAGGAUUAGAUACCCCAGUAGUCCCUGUCUCUUAUACA